RNAcentral lists this RNase P RNA (445 nucleotides) under Flavisolibacter sp. RNAcentral describes it as "RNase P RNA component class A". It matches the Rfam family "Bacterial RNase P class A". Rfam says of the family: Ribonuclease P (RNase P) is a ubiquitous endoribonuclease, found in archaea, bacteria and eukarya as well as chloroplasts and mitochondria. Its best characterised activity is the generation of mature 5'-ends of tRNAs by cleaving the 5'-leader elements of precursor-tRNAs. The record is from RNAcentral. Lineage: Bacteria; Pseudomonadati; Bacteroidota; Chitinophagia; Chitinophagales; Chitinophagaceae.
UGCUACAGGCAGGCUAUCGAUCCCGUUCAUUCAGGGUAGGAAAGUCCGGACAGCAUAGAGCAACGCAUCCCGGUAACGCCGGGACUCCCGCUUUGCGGGACGAGAAAGUGCCACAGAAAAUAGUUUCCUUAAUCCCUUUGCCGGGAUGUAUCCCGCUUAGGCGGGAGGGUAAAAUUGAAAACGUGGGGUAAGAGCCCACGGGGGUGUUCUGGAAGGUGCAUCCCGGGUAAACCUUGCGUGCUGAAAUGCCAUGUAAGCCAACGAUCCAGAGCUGCUCGUUCUGUCCGCCCCGGCGGAGCGUUGGUGGGUAGGCAGAUACAUCCCUCCAGCAAUGCAGGGAGCAGAUAAAUGAUAGCUGUCUUGUUGAAAAUUGAGGGUGGUUUACUGCCUUCGCGCUUUGCGCUUCAACAGGUAAACAGAAUCCGGCUUAUGCCUGUAGUUUUAU